This 546-nucleotide ribosomal RNA is filed under the name Acremonium sp. C65. RNAcentral describes it as "eukaryotic LSU rRNA". The stretch from base 180 to 333 matches the Rfam family "5.8S ribosomal RNA". The record is from RNAcentral. Lineage: Eukaryota; Fungi; Ascomycota; Sordariomycetes; Hypocreales; Bionectriaceae.
GUGAACCAGCGGAGGGAUCAUUACAGAGUUAUCCAACUCCCAAACCCAUGUGAACCUACCACUGUUGCUUCGGCGGCCUCGCCCCGGGCGCGUUCGCGCGGCCCGGACCCAGGCGUCCGCCGGAGGCUCCAAACUCUUGUCUUUUAGUGUAUUUCUGAGUGGCAUAAGCAAUAAAUCAAAACUUUCAGCAACGGAUCUCUUGGUUCUGGCAUCGAUGAAGAACGCAGCGAAAUGCGAUAAGUAAUGUGAAUUGCAGAAUUCAGUGAAUCAUCGAAUCUUUGAACGCACAUUGCGCCCGCCAGUAUUCUGGCGGGCAUGCCUGUCUGAGCGUCAUUUCAACCCUCAGGACCCGUUCGCGGGACCUGGCGUUGGGGAUCAGCCUGCCCCUGGCGGCGGCUGGCCCUGAAAUCCAGUGGCGGUUCCCUCGCGAACUCCUCCGUGCAGUAAUUAAACCUCUCGCGGCAGGAUAGCGGUUGAACCACGCCGUUAAACCCCCCACUUCUCAAGGUUGACCUCAGAUCAGGUAGGAAUACCCGCUGAACUUAA